AGGGCGGUUUGCCGCCCGUGACUCUGCGAGAAGUCCAUUGAACCUUAUCAUUUAGAGGAAGGAGAAGUCGUAACAAGGUUUCCGUAGGUGAACCUGCGGAAGGAUCAUUGUCGAGACUAAAGUAUAUCGAACGAUUUGGUGAAUAAGUCAAUAUAAGCCGUGGUAUUAUAUUCGCGGGAGAAGCCACCCCAUUUGUAAUCUCACUUCCCCUUGGGGGGGUGGAGGUCAUGAAAAAGGAUGGUUGAACACUCAAAUCGGCGCAGCAUUGCGCCAAGGGAUAUAUCGAAGCACAAGCCCUUAAAUGGGUUUGAUGGCAAGGUGUGCUGUUGCACCCCAUUAGGAUUUGCAUGACUCUCGACAAUGGAUAUCUCGGCUCUUGCAUCGAUGAAGAGCGCAGCGAAAUGCGAUACGUGGUGCGAAUUGCAGAAUCCCGUGAACCAUCAAGUCUUUGAACGCAAGUUGCGCCCGAGGCCAAUGGCCAAGGGCACGUCUGCCUGGGUGUCAAGCAUUAUUUCACUUCGAGCUAAUUCCACCUCUUCGAUGGUUGGGCUGGCAAAAGCUUGGAUGUGUAGAGUGGCUCAUCGUGCCUCUCGGUGCGUUGGGCUGAAGUGCGAAUUAUCAGGUUAUUAGUUGCGAACAAUAAGGGGUGGAUUAAGUGAAGCAUGUCUUAUUGUGUUGCGUAUGCCUGAGGGAAGAUUAUGCAUGGUAUGGUGAUCCCAAAUCAUGCGUUGAUCCCCAUAUGACGUUUGGAAUGCGACCCCAGGAUGGGCGGGGCCACCCGCCGAGUUUAAGCAUAUCAAUAAGCGGAGGAGAAGAAACUUAGUUUAAGCAUAUCAAUAAGCGGAGGAGAAGAAACUUA
This 859-nucleotide ribosomal RNA is filed under the name Dendrobium ephemerum. RNAcentral describes it as "eukaryotic LSU rRNA". The stretch from base 350 to 504 matches the Rfam family "5.8S ribosomal RNA". The record is from RNAcentral. Lineage: Eukaryota; Viridiplantae; Streptophyta; Magnoliopsida; Asparagales; Orchidaceae.